RNAcentral lists this transfer RNA (73 nucleotides) under Felis catus (domestic cat). It matches the Rfam family "tRNA". From Rfam's summary of the family: Transfer RNA (tRNA) molecules are approximately 80 nucleotides in length. Their secondary structure includes four short double-helical elements and three loops (D, anti-codon, and T loops). Further hydrogen bonds mediate the characteristic L-shaped molecular structure. tRNAs have two regions of fundamental functional importance: the anti-codon, which is responsible for specific mRNA codon recognition, and the 3' end, to which the tRNAs corresponding amino acid is attached (by aminoacyl-tRNA synthetases). tRNAs cope with the degeneracy of the genetic code in two manners: having more than one tRNA (with a specific anti-codon) for a particular amino acid; and 'wobble' base-pairing, i.e. permitting non-standard base-pairing at the 3rd anti-codon position. The record is from Rfam by way of RNAcentral. RNAcentral also lists the same sequence under 1 other name. Lineage: Eukaryota; Metazoa; Chordata; Mammalia; Carnivora; Felidae.
GCCUGACUGGCUCAUUUGGUAGAGCGUGCGACUCUUGGUCUUGGGGUCAUGGGUUUGAGCCCCAUGUUGGGUG